Molecule: ribosomal RNA, 492 nt
Filed under: uncultured bacterium
Lineage: Bacteria
Description: partial 16S ribosomal RNA
Rfam family: Bacterial small subunit ribosomal RNA
Source: RNAcentral
AUUGAACGCUGGCGGUAGGCCUAACACAUGCAAGUCGAACGGCAGCACAGUAAUAGCUUGCUCUUACGGGUGGCGAGUGGCGGACGGUUGAUGAAUACAUCGGAAUCUACUUUUUCUUGGGUGAUAACGUAGGGAAUCUUACGCUAAUACCGCAUACGACGUACGUGUGAAAGCAUGGGAUCUUCUGACCUUGCGCGAUUGAAUGAGCCGAUGUCGGAUUAGCGAGGUGGAGGGGUAAAGGCCCACCAAGGCGACGAUCCGUAGCUGGUCUGAGAGGAUGAUCAGCCACACUGGAACUGAGACACGGUCCAGACUCCUACGGGAGGCAGCAGUGGGGAAUAUUGGACAAUGGGCGAAAGCCUGAUCCAGCCAUACCGCGUGGGUGAAGAAGGCCUUCGGGUUGUAAAGCACUUUUGUUGGGAAAGAAAAGCAGCAGGUUAAUACCCCGCUGUUCUGACGGUACCCAAAGAAUAAGCACCGGCUAACUUCGUG